GUAACAGCUCAUUUGCAUAGUAGUAGCAAUUCAUAACAAAUUUAGGAGGAAUAUAUGCACAAUUUGGUUGCCCCGAAAAUAAUCUAUUACAAUGCAUUUAUUUUGAAAUUCUGUUUAAUGAACAACACAAUAAAUACUGUAAAAAUGAAUUCGGGUGAUGAGAUUAAUUUUUAUGAGGUCUUGAGAUAGACCCACAUCAAUAAUUAAGAUCCCCCCCCACCCAUUUUGAAAAGCUAAUUUCUCUCAAGAGCAGGUGAAAAAAUAGAUGAAAAUAAAUAUAUUCUUUAGACUAAUCCUAGUUCCAACAUAUAUAAAAAUAUUGCGCUUGGCAAAUAAUAUCUACAUGGCGAAAAUUGAAUUAGAAAUACUAUAUAUAGCUACAAUUUAGUAUGUUUUGAUUAGAUGAUUGUAAAAUUAAUGUUUCCUCUGCUUAUUAUUUUGCUGAAACAUAUUUUUUAGAACCUUAUUCAUUUUUCAUAUUAAAAUAUAAUUGAUUUUUGGAUUUUGUAAAGUGCUGUUUUGAAAAAUCUACAAAAAAUGUAUUAUUGGGGGUUUGGGUGUUGUUAUCUCCCCUUGUUAGAACUCUUCAAUAUUGUUUGGUGAAAAAAGCGGUAGUACAAACGAUGCAAGGAGGUAAUCUCAAUAUUUCAUGUUAUUUUUCAACUUAUGGGAGUUGUUGUGGAACAUUGUUGCACUACGAAAGUCAAAAUGGAUUGUUAAAGAUACUGUCACAACCUGGCAUGUCAACUCUUACAUAUAUUGAAAGUUUUGUUAGGGCUACAUAUUUGAUAUUCUUACAUCAUACAACAUAGAUUUGUUUUGCUUAUAUCAUACAUAACUUUUUUCACAACAUUUUGAGAAAUGUAUUUUACCAGUCUUCAUCUGACAGUCAGUCGAUUGUCAAUAACAUUGUUUUAACAUCAAUAAAGUGUGUUCAAUUAUUCCAUGAUAACAAUGCUUUUUAUUCUAUUUUUUUAACACUAAUUUUACUAAUGGUAUUUCAUAUUCAAAACAGUGAGGAAUUUAAUUUUCAACUCUAUAAAUUAGUAUAACUGAGUACAAUGAGAAAUAAAGAAACACAAUCCUUGCAGUUUACUGAAAGGUCAUCAAUCACAGAGAUACACAAGACAAAGCCAUACAGUACAUGUAUUUUAUAUUGCUUAACAAGUGAUGUAUAUUGAAAACUAUAUACAUGUAUGUACUACAUGUAGUAUUUCACACAUACAAUAAUUUACGUCUGUCAGUGAGUUAGGAUAGAUGAUUUUGAUUGCAUUCAUUAUGUGACAUCAUAUUAUUCGUAAUCAAUUGACACAUAACAGAAUAUGAAUAGGCUAUAAUUUUUAUGAAUGAUUAUUUAUGAUAUCAACUGUAAUUUCGGACUGGUAUCUUUAUUGUGAAAGUCGAACAUUUGCUGAAUUUGUUGUAUAACAUAAAAAUGUAAUGUAUGUUUGACGUCAUUUGUGAAUGUCAUAUGAUAAUGUGUAGUGAUUGGUAUAUAUCAUUAUCAAGGUUCUCUUUACUACUGGUACCCCCUUUACAGGUAAAACACUUUCCCCUUCAAUUGUAGAAAGCUCCUAGAUGGGAGAAACUUCCUACAUAAUAUUGUUAAUUUGUGAACUCUACCCCCUACCCCCAGAAAUUGGAGAUCAUUAUUAUCUCAUUUUUUCUCCAUUUAGGGUUCACUUUGUUGGUUUUUUAUAUCUAGAAUUAUUCAAAAAUAGUAUUGUGUUAUAUCAUCUUUGUCCUCUCUUUUGCAGAUUAAUAUUUAAAAGUACUAUUUGAAACAUAUAUUACCCAGCUUGUAAUUUAAAAAAUAAAGUGCACCGCCACGGCACAUGAUAUGCCCGUCACAUAUUGUUAACAGUAUAGAUUGUACCCAUUAAAACAUUUUUUUUUUAAAUCACCUUAAUUAAAUGUCACAGUGACCUUAAAGUAGGAUGCGACACACCUUCUACCUAAGAUGCAUUAGUUGACCAAUUUUGGUGAUUCUAGGUCUAAUAGUUUUCAAGUUAUGAGCCGGACAAGUUUUUGCCAUAUAUGGCCAUAUCUUCUUAAUGAAAAGUCAUAGUGACCUGGUUUUAAUGUGCAACACACCUUCUACCCAAGAUGUAUCUACAGACAAAGUUUGAUUAUUCUAGGCCUUGUAGUAUUUAAGUUACGGGUCGGACACGAAAAAGCUAACAGACCGACGGACAGACGGAUAUCUUCUUAAUGAAAAGUCACAGUGACCUGGUUUUAAUGUGCGACACACCUUCUACCCAAGAUGUAUCUACAGACAAAGUUUGAUGAUUCUAGGCUUUGUAGUAUUUAAGUUACGGGUCGGACACGAAAAAGCUAACAGACGGACGGACAUGAACACCAUACCAUAAUACGUCCCGUCUUAAGACGGGCGUAUAAAAAUGGCUGUCCAAUAACCUAAAUGUAUAGGUACAUUAAUUUAACAUUUUAUGUAGAUGUUAUUGAAGAAAAGGGCAUUAUUUAAACCCUUAAUAUCUCAUUUGAUUUUUAGAUGCCAAGCUCAAUAAUAUGUUUUAAUGAUGUUUAGUAGUCCAUUUUAACAGUAGUGUGAAAAUGAAUUAUUUCCUAGCCUGCUCUUGGAAGAUUUAACCCUUCUAAUAUGUACUUUUUCUUCAUUUCUGAAAAAUUGGCAUAUUGCCAAUUUUUAAGAGUUGUCUACCCUUUGAUGUGUUGUAUGUUUAAUUAUGACUUAUGCCAUUUUAGAAGGCUAUUGUCAUUUUGGAAGGCUAUUGUCAGUUAUAACUAUGAAAUUCAUUUCAUGAUGUAUAAUUUUAAUUUGAGUUUAAUAGCAUAAAUGUACACAACAUUUUUUGAAUACUUUAAAAAAAAAAAGAAGGCAUUAUCUAACCCCUAGUAUCAUACAUGCCAACUUUCCCGAUUUGUGCGGGAUUUUCCCGAUUUGAAGCAGUUGAAAAAGCAAAUCUCGAUAUCCCGAUCGGGAUUGCAAAAAUACCCCAAAAUCCCGAUUUUCUAAAAAUAUCUCCCAUUUUACGACAACAAACCCCCAUUUCCAACCGGAAUUUGAAAUCCCGCAUCAUUUCUGAACUGGCCAAUCACAAAUCGGGACAAUAGUCAGCCAUUGCUGUUUACCUGUGUCGCAUGGUAUCGGAGUGAUGUAAUUUACUUGGUCUGCCCGUGUCGGGGUGCUUAUUGGACAGUGCGAAGCAUGUUUUGAUAGUAAUUAAUCGGGAAGACGGAUUUCAAAUUGACAUAUCCUUUAUACAAACGUGAAUGGCAAUGAUAAUAGUGUCACCACCAAACAAUCGGACAUUCCCGAUUUUUGCCUCUCGCUGACAGCAUCCAAAAUAUGCAAUAUUAAAGAUGUCAUGGGUGCAAAGGUUUUGUUCGCAAACUUCAUAGCAGGGCAGAUCACUCCUUUUCUGGUUGCAAUGCAGAUUGUUCCACCAGACUCUGCAAGCCCAUGUUUACAGACAAGCAAGAUCGCCUUUGUAGUCGUACCUAAAUGCAUGUGCUUUAAUUUAAAUUUUGAUAUAUAGACCAGCCAAUGUGUAUAUGGUGUAAAAGGAUGCAACUUUAAGUAUUAUUUGAUAAUAUGUAUGUGAUUUGUUGGAGAGGAUUUUUUGCUGAAUAGAUGAUUUUAAUAAAAUACUUAUCUAUAUCUUUCAAAGUUUUUUUUUUUUUUUUUAUAUAGUUUUGUUAAAGUUAAUGGUCAAACACACUUGAUGUAUGAUAGAUGUAUAAUGAUUAGAUUGAUAUUUUAUUUGAAAAGACAAAUAUUUAUUUUCAUGGUAAAAUGUCGUGAAUUUUGAGCGUUGAAAAAAGGUCGUCGCGCGCAAAAUCCCCCAUGGGGAUUUUCAAAAGUUGGCAUGUAUGUAGUAUCUCACUUGAUUUCUGACGAUGAUAGGAGAAGGGGGCUGGUUUUAAUCAGACUGACUUGAUUUUUAAAAGCCAAGCUCAAUAAUAUGCUUUAAUGAUGUUUAGUAGUCUAUUUUGAGAUAAGUGUAAAAAAAAAUAUUUCCUAACCUGCUCUUGAAAGAUUUGGCCCUUCAAAUAUGUACUUUUUCUUCAUUUCUGAGAAAUUGGCAAUAUGGCAAUUUUUAAGAGUUGUCUGCCCUUUGAUAUGUUGCAUGUUUGAUUAUGACGUAUAUCAAUUUUGGAAGGCUAUUGUCUGCUGUUGUUAUGCAAUUCAUUUCAUGAUGUUUAAAUUUAAUUUUGGCUGAAAAAUAGAUAUACACAUGACUUUUUCUAGAUUUUUUAAAAAACAGGCAUUAUCUAAUCCCUAAUAUCUCAUAUGAUUUUUAAAUGCCAAGCUCAAUAAUAUGAUUUAAUGAUGUUUAGUAGUCUAUUUUGACAGUAGUAUGAGAAUGAAUUAUUUCCUAGCCUUCCAAUUUGUACGUUUUCUUCAUUUCUGAAAAAUUGACAAUAUGCCAAUUUUUAGGAGUUGUCUGCCCUUUGAUGUGUUUCAUGUUUGAUUAUGACUUAUGCCAUUUUUGGAAGAGGAGUGUCUGCUGUAACUUUGAAAUACUUUUGGAAAAAAUAAAUUUAAUUUUUUAGUGAAAUAAAUUACAUUUGAUUUUUACCCUUUUUCUGGAUUUUUAUAUAUUAUAAUAUUGAUGAAAAUAUGCAAAAUACAGAUGGCGCUGCGUAUGGCGGCCAUGUUGAAAAUAGCAAUUUUUGGAGAGUAUUUUUCAAUUACUAUGUUGGAUGUCUACCUACACACCAAAUUUCAUCAAGAUGUGGUAACCUACGAUUUGGACAGUAUUGCAUGAUUUUUUGCUAGACAGACUCUUACGAAAGUAUAUCUUCCUAUUUAGGGUAAUCCCAUGGUACUUGAUAUCACAUUAUUUCUUACAACUCCCAUUCGCAAUGAAACUUCAAUAACAGAUAGACAUUCAUAAGGCUUCUGCCAGAAAACCUAAAACUGAUCACUUACAUGUAAACGUUUUCCAUCUCAUUUUUUUUCGGGUUGGUGUUCUAAACUCUGCAUUGUAUUCUGAUAUACUAUUCCGUAUUUAAUUUCACAGCACUAAAAUAGAAGAAAAAAAAUUUUAAAAAGCAUACAAAAACAGGAGAUUUAAAAGAAGUUACAAAAAAAUAUCAAAUUGUGAAAAUAUCAUCACAGAAAUUUACUUACGAUAGCAGAAUAUAGUAAACAGUAAUCUGAACAUACCCUGUGUAGCAAUCCAAUAGCCAUUUUUGUCACCAGUUAAAUUCAGCAACAUACAUGGUCUCAUGGAGAUUUAAAAAAAGAACUUCAAAAUAUAUAUUUUUUGUAGACAUAAAAUCUAUAUAUGCAAUAUGUACAAACCAUGACAAUUGAUAAAGAUCAGUGAUUUUUGUAUUUGAAAACUGUUAUACUACUUUUUAAACAUAUGUAUUCCACGUUUUAUGUGAAAGUUGGUUUUACAAGACAUAGAAUGAAAAGAGUUGCCCAACAGGGGGAGAAGCUACUGUAAGGAUGGGCCAGAUUUUACACCACCUUACACUGUAGGUUUUCAACAAUACAUAUGGAAUAGAAAAUCUCUCACGUUUGAUUUCUUGACAAAGAAUUUUUAAAAAGUUUUCCCUUUCUUCUCUUUUUUAAAUUUAUAUAUUUUGUGUUGUUUUUGCUUGUCAUGCAAUUUUGAAAAAUUUCCGUUUUGGAGUACAUCACAUCAAAAGAAACACAAUCAUAUGUAUAUUUUUUCAAUUAUUUUCAAUGUCAGGAAGCUCAAUUUUACGUCCAUAUUUAGUAAAUAAAUAUGUUGCUGCUGUAAAUAUUUUAUCUUUAUUCCUGACUUCAAACACGAUAUCCUUCAACAAUUUACAAUCAAAGCGUGACAUUGCAAUUAUAAUAGCAAUAUCCGCACAGUCGUCUAUUUGGGGUACCAUAAUUUCUAAAGCAUUCCUUGAGUGGUGAUCUACAGUCACGUGACGUGAUAUCGAUGGGAGAUCGUAGGAGAUAUUAAAAGCUGAUUCCAUCCUUCUACCAUUAGAUGAUCGGUUGUUAUUUUCAUUCAUAUAAUACAAAUUGAAGUGAUCAUGAGGUUCCACAUAGCGGCUCCUUCGAAGUUUUACGUUGUUUUCGUCUAUAAAUGAUACAACUCUAAGGUUUUCAUUAGAGCUGGACGAAAAGGAAAGAGGGCGUAUAAUAUAAUUGACAUCCUCGAAGUUUAUAACAGGUCUGUUUUCAAUAAUACAAAUAUCUUUAUGAAAUACGUUCCUGAAAUAAUGCUGAGCAACGUAAAUGAUGUUAUGCUUGCACAUGACAGAUAUUCUAAAACGUAAAUCAAUAAAUUUAGCCAUUUCGAUUACAAUAGGUACUGAUACAGCAUGGUUGUUCGUACUCACAGGAAUUUCAAUAACAGUUAGUCGACCCUUAAGCCUCAAUCUUAAUAUCUGGCGUGCACUUUCUUCACUGUAACACCUAAAUCUGAUGUCACUAAAAUGUUCACUAGGCGAAGAGAGACUUUCUAACCAUCUAAAAAAUUUUGAUGCAAAUAAUAUAUAAUACCCAUUAGUCGGUAAAUUUCUAUUUUCUAAUUUUUGUAAAAAGUUCAAAUUUUUAUCAAAAUCAAUGAAAAAUACUUCAUUCACAUCAUCUGGAAUAUACCUUGACCAGUGACGUGAACUAUUUUCAUCGAACAGUGUAGGUGGUAUAAAAGAAAGCUCAUCCUUACCGUUAAAACGGUUAAAUCUGUAUAUUCCAGAAUUUUCCAUGACUUCUCC
Ostrea edulis (European flat oyster) is the source of this 6687-nucleotide long non-coding RNA. RefSeq lists it as uncharacterized. The record is from RefSeq and is a predicted model, not a curated record. The transcript is spliced from 2 exons. NCBI's taxonomy places the organism in Eukaryota, Metazoa, Mollusca, Bivalvia, Ostreida, Ostreidae.